UGCGAGUAUUAUAUGAUGC
This 19-nucleotide microRNA is filed under the name Schistosoma mansoni. RNAcentral describes it as "sma-miR-8426-5p". The record is from miRBase by way of RNAcentral. Lineage: Eukaryota; Metazoa; Platyhelminthes; Trematoda; Strigeidida; Schistosomatidae.